RNAcentral lists this small RNA (590 nucleotides) under uncultured Rhizoscyphus. RNAcentral's name for it is "eukaryotic LSU rRNA". The stretch from base 231 to 384 matches the Rfam family "5.8S ribosomal RNA". The record is from RNAcentral. Lineage: Eukaryota; Fungi; Ascomycota; Leotiomycetes; Helotiales; Helotiaceae.
CUUGGUCAUUUAGAGGAAGUAAAAGUCGUAACAAGGUUUCCGUAGGUGAACCUGCGGAAGGAUCAUUAAAGAAUGCCCCGUUUUUUGAAAUGGGUUCUGUUCCCAAACCGUGUAUACAUACUUUUGUUGCUUUGGCAGGCCGCCUUCGGGCGUCGGCUCACGCUGACAGCGCCUGCCAGAGGACCCAAACUCGUUUGUUUAGUGAUGUCUGAGUACUAUAUAAUAGUUAAAACUUUCAACAACGGAUCUCUUGGUUCUGGCAUCGAUGAAGAACGCAGCGAAAUGCGAUAAGUAAUGUGAAUUGCAGAAUUCAGUGAAUCAUCGAAUCUUUGAACGCACAUUGCGCCCCUUGGUAUUCCGAGGGGCAUGCCUGUUCGAGCGUCAUUAUGACCACUCAAGCCUAGCUUGGUAUUGGGGUUCGCGGUCCCGCGGCCCUUAAAAUCAGUGGCGGUGCCAUCUGGCUCUAAGCGUAGUAAUUUAUCUCGCUAUUGGGUCCGGUGGUUGCUUGCCAACAACCCCUAACUUUUAAGGUUGACCUCGGAUCAGGUAGGGAUACCCGCUGAACUUAAGCAUAUCAAUAAGCGGAGGAA